RNAcentral lists this ribosomal RNA (253 nucleotides) under uncultured bacterium. Its description in RNAcentral is "partial 16S ribosomal RNA". It matches the Rfam family "Bacterial small subunit ribosomal RNA", at positions 524 to 776 of the family's 1533-position model. The record is from RNAcentral.
UACGUAGGGUGCAAGCGUUAAUCGGAAUUACUGGGCGUAAAGCGUGGGCAGGCGGUUUUGUAAGUCUGUCGUGAAAGCCCCGGGCUCAACCUGGGAAUUGCGAUGGAGACUGCAAGGCUAGAAUCUGGCAGAGGGGGGUAGAAUUCCACGUGUAGCAGUGAAAUGCGUAGAGAUGUGGAGGAACACCGAUGGCGAAGGCAGCCCCCUGGGUCAAGAUUGACGCUCAUGCACGAAAGCGUGGGGAGCAAACAGG